AAAAUCCGUCGACUUUCAAAAUCGUGAGG
This 29-nucleotide transfer RNA is filed under the name Eugenia tinifolia. Its description in RNAcentral is "partial tRNA-Leu". The record is from RNAcentral. RNAcentral also lists the same sequence under 1 other name. Lineage: Eukaryota; Viridiplantae; Streptophyta; Magnoliopsida; Myrtales; Myrtaceae.